Pteropus alecto (black flying fox) is the source of this 121-nucleotide non-coding RNA. Lineage: Eukaryota; Metazoa; Chordata; Mammalia; Chiroptera; Pteropodidae. The record is from Rfam.
CUGUGGAGUCAGACUGUCUGGGUGUGUAUCUUAGAUCCCGUCUGAUCUCGGAAGCUAAGCAGGGUCGGGCCUGGUUAGUACUUGGAUGGGAGAACACUUAGAAGACCAAGUGCUGUAGGCA